GGUGGUGUAGCUCAGAUAGUAGAGCGCACGCUUAGUAUGCGAGAGGUACGGGGAUCGAUACCCCGCCCUCCA
This 72-nucleotide transfer RNA is filed under the name Trichonephila inaurata madagascariensis. It matches the Rfam family "tRNA". Rfam says of the family: Transfer RNA (tRNA) molecules are approximately 80 nucleotides in length. Lineage: Eukaryota; Metazoa; Arthropoda; Arachnida; Araneae; Nephilidae. The record is from Rfam by way of RNAcentral.